This 279-nucleotide ribosomal RNA is filed under the name uncultured Staphylococcus sp. Its description in RNAcentral is "partial 16S ribosomal RNA". It matches the Rfam family "Bacterial small subunit ribosomal RNA", at positions 83 to 354 of the family's 1533-position model. The record is from RNAcentral. Lineage: Bacteria; Bacillati; Bacillota; Bacilli; Caryophanales; Staphylococcaceae.
CCUCUGACGUUAGCGGCGGACGGGUGAGUAACACGUGGGUAACCUACCUAUAAGACUGGGAUAACUCCGGGAAACCGGGGCUAAUACCGGAUAAUACAUGAAACCGCAUGGUUUCAUGAUGAAAGACGGUUUUGCUGUCACUUAUAGAUGGACCCGCGGCGUAUUAGCUAGUUGGUAAGGUAACGGCUUACCAAGGCAACGAUACGUAGCCGACCUGAGAGGGUGAUCGGCCACACUGGAACUGAGACACGGUCCAGACUCCUACGGGAGGCAGCAGGU